RNAcentral lists this ribosomal RNA (402 nucleotides) under uncultured bacterium. RNAcentral's name for it is "bacterial SSU rRNA". It matches the Rfam family "Bacterial small subunit ribosomal RNA", at positions 356 to 773 of the family's 1533-position model. The record is from RNAcentral.
GGGGAAUAUUGCACAAUGGGGGAAACCCUGAUGCAGCGACGCCGCGUGAGUGAAGAAGUAUUUCGGUAUGUAAAGCUCUAUCAGCAGGGACGAAUAAAUGACGGUACCUGACUAAGAAGCCCCGGCUAACUACGUGCCAGCAGCCGCGGUAAUACGUAGGGGGCAAGCGUUAUCCGGAUUUACUGGGUGUAAAGGGAGCGUAGACGGUGAUGUAAGUCAGAUGUGAAAGCCCGGGGCUCAACUCCGGGACUGCAUUUGAAACUAUGUUGCUAGAGUGCAGGAGAGGUAAGUGGAAUUCCUAGUGUAGCGGUGAAAUGCGUAGAUAUUAGGAGGAACACCAGUGGCGAAGGCGGCUUACUGGACUGUAACUGACGUUGAGGCUCGAAAGCGUGGGGAGCAAAC